Molecule: transfer RNA, 73 nt
Filed under: Olea europaea subsp. europaea
Lineage: Eukaryota; Viridiplantae; Streptophyta; Magnoliopsida; Lamiales; Oleaceae
Description: tRNA.Thr
Rfam family: tRNA (bases 7-67)
About the family: Transfer RNA (tRNA) molecules are approximately 80 nucleotides in length.
Source: RNAcentral
GUGGCUUUUAACUUAGUGGUAGAGUAAUGCCACGGUAAGGCAUAAGUCAUAGGUUCAAAUCCGAUAAGUUUCA